GGUGAAGCUAGAGCUUGCUCUAGUGGAAACUGGCGGACGGGUGAGUAACGCGUAGGGAUGUGCCUAUGGGUACGGAGUAACCGUUGGAAACGACGGCUAAUACCGUAUACGCCCUAAGGGGGAAAGCUCCGGCGCCCAUAGAGCAACCUGCGUCCGAUUAGCUUGUUGGUGAGGUAACGGCUCACCAAGGCUUCGAUCGGUAGCUGGUCUGAGAGGAUGGUCAGCCACACUGGGACUGAGACACGGCCCAGACUCCUACGGGAGGCAGCAGUGGGGAAUAUUGGACAAUGGGGGCAACCCUGAUCCAGCCAUGCCGCGUGAGUGAAGAAGGCCUUAGGGUUGUAAAGCUCUUUCAGCAGGGAAGAUGAUGACGGUACCUGCAGAAGAAGCCCCGGCUAACUCCGUGCCAGCAGCCGCGGUAAU
This 423-nucleotide ribosomal RNA is filed under the name uncultured Alphaproteobacteria bacterium. RNAcentral's name for it is "bacterial SSU rRNA". It matches the Rfam family "Bacterial small subunit ribosomal RNA", at positions 67 to 524 of the family's 1533-position model. Lineage: Bacteria; Pseudomonadati; Pseudomonadota; Alphaproteobacteria. The record is from RNAcentral.